GGUGGAGUAGUCUUAGGCGUGAGAGGAUAAGGUGAGGUACUGGCUUGGUGACGUCGGGAGAGAGUGCGAGGAAGAGGACCAAAAUGGCCGAUGCCCAGAACAGCAGCGGCUUCCAUUUCAAGAGCGGGGGGUGUCUGGAGAUGGGAGGCGUUUCGUUUGGGGGAUUGGGGUUGUGGACUGAACUCAUGGUGAGGUUGGAACGCGGAUUCGCAAUAGGAGGUGGAUAUAUGGGUUGUUUCUUACUUCUUCGGUAAGCUAAGGUAGCCGAAUGUUACAUGGCUUCCAUAUGGUAGCUACCUGAGAAUGAAUUGAGACAAGCGUAUGAUAAACAAAGAUGGUAUAGAGUUGUCAAAAACAGGGGUAUGGUUAAGUU
Molecule: long non-coding RNA, 373 nt
Filed under: Elaeis guineensis (African oil palm)
Lineage: Eukaryota; Viridiplantae; Streptophyta; Magnoliopsida; Arecales; Arecaceae
Description: long non-coding RNA (EGUI_LNC021372)
Source: RNAcentral